CCUACGGGAGGCAGCAGUAGGGAAUCUUCCACAAUGGACGAAAGUCUGAUGGAGCAACGCCGCGUGAAUGAAGAAGGCUUUCGGGUCGUAAAAUUCUGUUGUCAGAGAAGAACGAUAGUGAGAGUAACUGUUCAUGCAUUGCCGGUAUUCGACCAGAAAGCCACGGCUAACUACGUGCCAGCAGCCGCGGUAAU
This 194-nucleotide ribosomal RNA is filed under the name uncultured Lactobacillus sp. RNAcentral's name for it is "partial 16S ribosomal RNA". It matches the Rfam family "Bacterial small subunit ribosomal RNA", at positions 338 to 524 of the family's 1533-position model. Lineage: Bacteria; Bacillati; Bacillota; Bacilli; Lactobacillales; Lactobacillaceae. The record is from RNAcentral.